GCCUGAUUAGCUCAAUUGGCAGAGCACAUAUUUCGUAAGUAUGAGGUUGGUGGUUCGAUUCCACUAUCAGGCU
Molecule: transfer RNA, 73 nt
Filed under: Candidatus Egerieousia excrementavium
Lineage: Bacteria; Pseudomonadati; Bacteroidota; Bacteroidia; Bacteroidales
Description: tRNA-Thr
Rfam family: tRNA
About the family: Transfer RNA (tRNA) molecules are approximately 80 nucleotides in length.
Source: RNAcentral